UGGGGAUGACGUCAAGUCCUCAUGGCCUUUAUGACCAGGGCUACACACGUACUACAAUGGCCGAUACAAAGGGCAGCGACACUGCGAGGUGAAGCCAACUACCCGUAAAAUCGGUCUCAGUCCGGAUUGGAGUCUGCAACUCGACUCCAUGAAGUUGGAAUCGCUAGUAAUCGUGGAUCAGCAUGCCACGGUGAAUACGUUCCCGGGCCUU
Molecule: ribosomal RNA, 211 nt
Filed under: uncultured Desulfobulbus sp.
Lineage: Bacteria; Pseudomonadati; Thermodesulfobacteriota; Desulfobulbia; Desulfobulbales; Desulfobulbaceae
Description: partial 16S ribosomal RNA
Rfam family: Bacterial small subunit ribosomal RNA
Source: RNAcentral